This 258-nucleotide ribosomal RNA is filed under the name Clostridioides difficile. RNAcentral describes it as "partial 23S ribosomal RNA". It matches the Rfam family "Bacterial large subunit ribosomal RNA", at positions 1 to 258 of the family's 2925-position model. Lineage: Bacteria; Bacillati; Bacillota; Clostridia; Peptostreptococcales; Peptostreptococcaceae. The record is from RNAcentral.
UGGUCAAGUUAUUAAGGGUGCAGGGCGGAUGCUUUGGCACUAGGAGCCGAUGAAGGACGUGAUAAGCUGCGAGAAGCUUCGGGGAGUGGCAGCACGACUUUGAUCCGAAGAUUUCCGAAUGAGGAAACUCACUUAGAGUAAUGUCUAAGUAUCAUUAAGUGAAUACAUAGCUUAAUGAGGGGAACUCAGGGAACUGAAACAUCUAAGUACCUGAAGGAAGAGAAAGAAAUUCGAUUCCGUAAGUAGCGGCGAGCGAAC